UUUAUUACACAUCCGCCAGAAUUUCCCCCAUUUGGCCCCCCCCCUUUUUAGUAAAAAAAAAAAGGGUUACCUCGCAGACGAACGCUGGCGGCGUGCCUAAUACAUGCAAGUCGAACGCUUCUUUUUCCACCGGAGCUUGCUCCACCGGAAAAAGAAGAGUGGCGAACGGGUGAGUAACACGUGGGUAACCUGCCCAUCAGAAGGGGAUAACACUUGGAAACAGGUGCUAAUACCGUAUAACAAUCAAAACCGCAUGGUUUUGAUUUGAAAGGCGCUUUCGGGUGUCGCUGAUGGAUGGACCCGCGGUGCAUUAGCUAGUUGGUGAGGUAACGGCUCACCAAGGCCACGAUGCAUAGCCGACCUGAGAGGGUGAUCGGCCACAUUGGGACUGAGACACGGCCCAAACUCCUACGGGAGGCAGCAGUAGGGAAUCUUCGGCAAUGGACGAAAGUCUGACCGAGCAACGCCGCGUGAGUGAAGAAGGUUUUCGGAUCGUAAAACUCUGUUGUUAGAGAAGAACAAGGAUGAGAGUAACUGUUCAUCCCUUGACGGUAUCUAACCAGAAAGCCACGGCUAACUACGUGCCAGCAGCCGCGGUAAUACGUAGGUGGCAAGCGUUGUCCGGAUUUAUUGGGCGUAAAGCGAGCGCAGGCGGUUUCUUAAGUCUGAUGUGAAAGCCCCCGGCUCAACCGGGGAGGGUCAUUGGAAACUGGGAGACUUGAGUGCAGAAGAGGAGAGUGGAAUUCCAUGUGUAGCGGUGAAAUGCGUAGAUAUAUGGAGGAACACCAGUGGCGAAGGCGGCUCUCUGGUCUGUAACUGACGCUGAGGCUCGAAAGCGUGGGGAGCAAACAGGAUUAGAUACCCUGGUAGUCCACGCCGUAAACGAUGAGUGCUAAGUGUUGGAGGGUUUCCGCCCUUCAGUGCUGCAGCUAACGCAUAA
Molecule: ribosomal RNA, 940 nt
Filed under: Enterococcus faecium
Lineage: Bacteria; Bacillati; Bacillota; Bacilli; Lactobacillales; Enterococcaceae
Description: bacterial SSU rRNA
Rfam family: Bacterial small subunit ribosomal RNA
Source: RNAcentral